RNAcentral lists this non-coding RNA (196 nucleotides) under Lachnospiraceae bacterium CAG:364. RNAcentral also lists the same sequence under 1 other name. The record is from RNAcentral. Lineage: Bacteria; Bacillati; Bacillota; Clostridia; Lachnospirales; Lachnospiraceae.
AAUUCCAUAAACCUAUUAAGUGCAUCUGCGUUGACCGCACAACGCCGGUGAAAAGGGAAUCAGGUGAGAAUCCUGAGCGAUCCGGUCACUGUAUUUGGGGAGCAAUGCUUCAAUAAUCCAUUGUAUUUUGAUACGAGAAGGAGAAGCAAAGCAAUGAACCAUGAGUCAGGAAACCUGCUUAAUAGCAGUAAGGUGA